UACGUAGGGGGCAAGCGUUGUCCGGAAUCAUUGGGCGUAAAGCGAGCGUAGGCGGCCCGAUAAGUCUGCUGUAAAAGUCAACGGCUCAACCGUUGAAAGCCGGUGGAUACUGUCGGGCUAGAGUUCGGAAGAGGCAAGUGGAAUUCCUGGUGUAGCGGUGAAAUGCGCAGAUAUCAGGAGGAACACCGAUGGCGAAGGCAGGUCUCUGGGCAUUAACUGACGCUGAGGAGCGAAAGCAUGGGGAGCGAACAGG
RNAcentral lists this ribosomal RNA (253 nucleotides) under uncultured bacterium. RNAcentral describes it as "partial 16S ribosomal RNA". It matches the Rfam family "Bacterial small subunit ribosomal RNA", at positions 524 to 776 of the family's 1533-position model. The record is from RNAcentral.